Molecule: ribosomal RNA, 467 nt
Filed under: uncultured bacterium
Lineage: Bacteria
Description: partial 16S ribosomal RNA
Rfam family: Bacterial small subunit ribosomal RNA
Source: RNAcentral
GACGAACGCUGGCGGCGUGCUUAACACAUGCGAGUCGAACGGAAAGGCUCCAGCUUGCUGGAGUACUCGAGUGGCGAACGGGUGAGUAACACGUGGGUAAUCUGCCCUGCACUCUGGGAUAAGCCUGGGAAACUGGGUCUAAUACUGGAUAUGACCUUUCUCCUUAUGGGGUUUGGUGGAAAGUUUUUCGGUGUAGGAUGAGCCCGCGGCCUAUCAGCUUGUUGGUGGGGUGAUGGCCUACCAAGGCGACGACGGGUAGCCGGCCUGAGAGGGUGAUCGGCCACAUUGGGACUGAGAUACGGCCCAGACUCCUACGGGAGGCAGCAGUGGGGAAUAUUGCACAAUGGGCGGAAGCCUGAUGCAGCGACGCCGCGUGAGGGAUGACGGCCUUCGGGUUGUAAACCUCUUUCAGCAGGGACGAAGCGUAAGUGACGGUACCUGCAGAAGAAGCACCGGCUAACUAGGUG